AUUGUCUGAGCUGCAAGCAACGAAUCAAAACUUUCAACAACGGAUCUCUUGGUUCUGGCAUCGAUGAAGAACGCAGCGAAAUGCGAUAAGUAGUGUGAAUUGCAGAAUUCAGUGAAUCAUCGAAUCUUUGAACGCACAUUGCGCCCCUUGGUAUCCCGAGGGGCAUGCCUGUUCGAGCGUCAUUUCACCACUCAAGCCCGGCUUGGUGUUGGGCGACGUCUCCUUUAGGGACGCGCCUCGAAACGCUCGGCGGCGUGGCACCGGCUUUAAGCGUAGCAGAAUCUUUCGCUUUGAAAGUCGGGGCCUCGUCUGCCGGAAGACCUACUCGUAAGGUUGACCUCGGAUCAGGUAGGGAUACCCGCUGAACUUAAGCAUAUCAAUAAGUCGGAGGAA
This 393-nucleotide ribosomal RNA is filed under the name uncultured Cenococcum. RNAcentral's name for it is "eukaryotic LSU rRNA". The stretch from base 29 to 182 matches the Rfam family "5.8S ribosomal RNA". The record is from RNAcentral. Lineage: Eukaryota; Fungi; Ascomycota; Dothideomycetes; Gloniales; Gloniaceae.